Molecule: unclassified non-coding RNA, 240 nt
Filed under: uncultured Bordetella sp.
Lineage: Bacteria; Pseudomonadati; Pseudomonadota; Betaproteobacteria; Burkholderiales; Alcaligenaceae
Description: partial 16S-23S ribosomal RNA intergenic spacer
Rfam family: Bacterial small subunit ribosomal RNA
Source: RNAcentral
AAGUUCGUUAUGGCUCAGAUUGAACGCUGGCGGGAUGCUUUACAUGCAAGUCAGACGGCAGCACGGACUUCGGUCUGGUGGCGAGUGGCAGGCAGGUGAGUAAUGUAUCGGAACGUGCUAGUAGCGGGGAUAACUACGCGAAAGCGUAGCUAAUACCAUACGCCCUUCGGGAAAGCGGGGGACCUUCGGGCCUCGCACUAUUAGAGCGGCCGAUAUCGGAUUAGCUAGUUGGUGGGGUAA